AAAUUAUUUAAUUUUGUAACGUUAUUUGUAACGUUAUGUGAACGUCUUCGCCCUUUAGCAGACCUUCCCUCUUCGUCGACGUGACGACUUCUUAUUCCCUUUGUUUUUCCCCAUCUUCUCUAUUGUAAUUGGGGCAGUCUUGCUCUCGGUGUGAAACCAGCCGGACUCAACAGUUUCUGGCGACAUGUGUUUGUGUGCUAGUAUUAGUGGUCUCCGCAUGGCCAGGUCCGAACGGUUGUGGUAAUUCGACCGUUCGUGGUGCGCUGCGGUAAUGCAGGCACAGGUGUGUUCAUGGUGCGCUGAGGUAAUGCAGGCUCCGGUGUGUUCGUGGUGCGCUGCGGUUAUGCAGGCACCGGUGUAAACGCGAGACGCGUGAUCAAGACUAACCUGUAUUUGUCUGCUAAAGUCAGGAAAUAGACCGAGCCCGUUUUCAAAGACACCCACCUAAGCUGUUCCUUACCCUCUUUUCUUAACAAUAUAAUAUGGUCCGAUUACUACACAGCGGCUGAAGAGUACUUAUUUUCACCAUUUAAUUGUUUCUGUACACUGUACAGUACUUUAAAAUUAAAGAUUCGAACCUUGGAUCUUUUGAUUUGCUGUCUUAUACUCUACCGCUACGCCACAUCAUUUAUUAAUGAACGAACUAAUUUAGAUAAAAAUGGUGAUAAGAUAGAUAAAGGCAAAAAAAGAUGUCUGGACUAACAUUAACCAACCCCCC
Molecule: long non-coding RNA, 718 nt
Organism: Daphnia magna
Lineage: Eukaryota; Metazoa; Arthropoda; Branchiopoda; Diplostraca; Daphniidae
Exons: 3
Source: RefSeq, a predicted model, not a curated record